AACCUAGCACACCUGCGGUGUGUACCUGCGGAGGGAUCAUUACAGAGAUUGAUGCACCAAGUGCAUCACCUCCAACCCCUUGCGAAAACAACUAUCAUGUGUUGCUUUGGCAGUGUUUCCACUGCCAGAGGUUUACAUAAAAUCAGCUGUUUGGAUGUUGUCUGAGUAAACUAUAUGAAUUAUUUAAAACUUUCAACAAUGGAUCU
RNAcentral lists this unclassified non-coding RNA (206 nucleotides) under soil metagenome. RNAcentral describes it as "partial contains 5.8S ribosomal RNA, internal transcribed spacer 2, and large subunit ribosomal RNA". The record is from RNAcentral.